RNAcentral lists this ribosomal RNA (477 nucleotides) under Atractus fuliginosus. RNAcentral's name for it is "partial 16S ribosomal RNA". It matches the Rfam family "Bacterial large subunit ribosomal RNA", at positions 1856 to 2599 of the family's 2925-position model. The record is from RNAcentral. Lineage: Eukaryota; Metazoa; Chordata; Lepidosauria; Squamata; Dipsadidae.
CGCCUGCCCAGUGAACAAUUAAACGGCCGCGGUACCCUAACCGUGCAAAGGUAGCGUAAUCAUUUGUCUAUUAAUUGUAGACCAGCAUGAAAGGCACAAUGAGGAUCUCCCUGUCUCUUAUAAUAAAUCAAUUAAACUGAUCCCCUAGUAAAAAAGCUAGGAUACACACACAAGACCAGAAGACCCUGUGAAGCUUAAAUUAAACUAUUAAACCCUAUAAUACCUACUUUCGGUUGGGGCGACCUUGGAAAAAAAAAGAACUUCCAAACAUACGACCAUAACUCCCACAUCGGCCUACAAGCCUCACAUAGACCCAGUAAAACUGAUAAUUGAACCAAGUUACUCCAGGGAUAACAGCGCCAUCUUCUUCAAGAGCCCAUAUCAAAAAGAAGGUUUACGACCUCGAUGUUGGAUCAGGACAUCCUAAUGGUGCAGCCGCUAUUAAGGGUUCGUUUGUUCAACGAUUAAUAGUCCUAC